Molecule: ribosomal RNA, 253 nt
Filed under: uncultured bacterium
Lineage: Bacteria
Description: partial 16S ribosomal RNA
Rfam family: Bacterial small subunit ribosomal RNA
Source: RNAcentral
UACGGGGGGAGCAAGCGUUGUUCGGAAUUACUGGGCGUAAAGCGUGCGUAGACGGUUAUUUAAGUCGGAUGUGAAAGCCCCGGGCUCAACCUGGGAAUUGCAUUCGAGACUGAAUAGCUAGGGUGCGGUAGAGGGAAGCGGAAUUUCCGGUGUAGCGGUGAAAUGCGUAGAUAUCGGAAGGAACAUCAGUGGCGAAAGCGGCUUCCUGGACCAGCACCGACGUUCAGGCACGAAAGCGUGGGGAGCAAACAGG